UUGCAUUUUAGUGUCUGCAUACGUUUGAUAAUCUUCCUUGUAUCAAGCAUGAAGAUUUCGAUGCUGGAUUUCUGCCUAUGUUCCUUUAUGUCCCAUUUUGUGGGUGCUUUUUUUUUUUUUGUUGAAUUUGUACCUCGGUAUUUAGACUCUUAGUUAUGUGUUCUGACUAUUGAAUAUUGAUAACCAUAAGUAGCCUGAUUGGAGUUGGGAAGAAACUCCUGUAAAUAUUUAGAAGGAGUUGGGUUUUCUAAAUAUUUCUAAUUUCAGGUGGAGCAGGCUGGACGACGCUGAAGUAGUCAUCUUCGUCGGCCCCGUCACUGCGUACGCAUACUCCUUCAAUUUUUCCCUCCUACUGGUACAUAUUCUUCCCAAGUUCCACUCCAUUGCUAAUUCUGAAAUUUUGUUUGCUUAAUUCGAAUCUGAAUUUAUUUUCCUUGAUUAGAUAUCUAACAUUGCAUUCUAAUUAUUUCAUGUUGCUGCUUGCAUCACUUUUUCAGGUGUUGUGAUCUGGAGAAGCUCAAGUAGCCAUCUUCGUCCAUCACGUCACUGCAUACGCAUACGCCUCUAAUUUUUGACUCCUGGUACAUACUCUUCCCAACUUCCCCUUGGUGGCUAAUUCUGUAUUUUUUUGCUUAAUUCAAAUCUGAAUUAAUAAUUCAGAUUUUUUGUUUCCUUGAUUGAAAUCUGAAUUAAAUUUUGCUUCAUUGCUAUGUAACACUGCCUUCUAAUCCGAAAAAUCUGACAGAUAUCACAACACUCAUAUGCUUAUAAAGCACAUGUUCCAUAAUAACUAGAUGAACUACAUACAUGCUCUCCUUUUUAUUGAUUAGUUGGUUUAGCCCCUAAACUAUCUUAUAUUAUCUAAAAGAAGGCUGGCAUAAUUAGUUUUCCUGCAAUUUUUGUUAGUUCUCUGUAUUGUUUUUGUUGAUUUUUUAUCUAUUCUUCUAUAUCCACUCAUACAGUAGCAGUACGUAUGUACAUUAUUUUGGAAUGCAGCUCAAAGGAAUAGGAACGUUUCCCGCAAAAAAAAGGAAUAGGACUGUGCUCCUCCCAAAAGACAAAAGCAAGAGUAAGUAUUGCUUCUCACAUCCUAUAGAAAAAAUAAUCUCACAAAUCACUUUCUCCCUUGAAAUAUUUACGGUAGCAAAUAUUCAUCUAAUGCAGCAAUGCAGACAAUAAAAAUCCAGCACCAACAAUGAAUAGCCGGAGUAAACAAAACAAGCAGACCAAAUCGUGUCGGCCCUCGAGGAAGGGUUGCAGUGUCGAGGAGCAGCAGGCAUGUAAAUCUGACUGCAAUUCAUGUAUGUCUCUUCCUAUUUAUCUGUUGUUCAACUGUGUUAUUUGUUUACUACGACAGAUUUGAGUAAUUGUCGGUCAUGUAGCUAAUGUAGGCGCAGCUUCAUGAACGUCUGCCAAGGUUCUUAGUGAGGGCUUCCUCUAAGAUGCUUUCAGAUUUUUUAUUAUCUAGCAUAUAUAUGCAGUGAAGAUGUCUCUGAAUAGGAUACAUGGUGUUCAUGUUCUGUUAGAUAAUUUUAUUCUUGUGUAGUUUGAUUUAAAAGAUGAUAGGUCAGAAUGACAGAAUGUGAUUAGUUUUGCUUUUGCUGCUGCUACACAUGAUUUUACUUUUGUUUUUGAUUGUUUCUUCUUCAGUUUCUUAAGGCUAGAACACUACAGUGAUUGAUUAUGCACCUGAAGGAUUAAUGAAGCUGCUUGGACUGAAUUUCUCUUUAAAAUACAUGGUGCUUGUUUGGGAUGAUUGGGCAAAAAUAGUUGGGAAUUGGUUUUUUAUUAUAUGCAAAGCUUCAAGCCUUGGGGUCUUGCUGACAUUAGUUGUUUCAAGUUCAGACCUUUUUCACCGCUGACUAUACUCUCUCAAGUUCAGGUCACGGUGGAUGGUUUGAGAGGAGGGAGGCAGAGCAGAGACAAACGGCGCAUUCCGUCAUGCAUGUGUGUGGAUUUGUAUCAUCCUACUACUGUGUUGCUUUGUUUUACAGUAAUAAAUAAAGAGAUGAAUCAGAUUUUCUUUGGUUCGUUAGCAAAAUUUUACACAUCAAGUAUUUGAUCUCAGAUCUUCUAUUUCGGUUUGGUAUAUGAGCCUUUUGCCCAUAGACUAACAUGUCCCUUAACCUGUCUGCUUGGUGAUACUUUUCUGUAUCAGCAAGUAGUUACGGAUUGAACAACCAGUUACUGAUUAUGCCUUAUCUCAAUGCAUACUAACUUUCUAUGAGUACCUGGUUUGCUGCAGCCCUUUUGCCCAUAGACUAAUAUAUGCACUUUCUUUUAGAAUUGAGCAUACCCUGCUUGUCAUUAGCACUCUCGUUACAACAUCUACAUCUCUCUUUACAC
RNAcentral lists this long non-coding RNA (2346 nucleotides) under Triticum aestivum (bread wheat). Its description in RNAcentral is "long non-coding RNA (TAES_LNC008328)". The record is from RNAcentral. Lineage: Eukaryota; Viridiplantae; Streptophyta; Magnoliopsida; Poales; Poaceae.